UACGAAGGGGGCUAGCGUUGUUCGGAAUCACUGGGCGUAAAGGGCGCGUAGGCGGCUUUAUAAGUCGGGGGUGAAGGCCUGUGGCUCAACCACAGAAUUGCCUUCGAUACUGUAGAGCUUGAGACCGGAAGAGGUAAGUGGAACUGCGAGUGUAGAGGUGAAAUUCGUAGAUAUUCGCAAGAACACCAGUGGCGAAGGCGGCUUACUGGUCCGGUUCUGACGCUGAGGCGCGAAAGCGUGGGGAGCAAACAGG
Molecule: ribosomal RNA, 253 nt
Filed under: uncultured bacterium
Lineage: Bacteria
Description: partial 16S ribosomal RNA
Rfam family: Bacterial small subunit ribosomal RNA
Source: RNAcentral